RNAcentral lists this ribosomal RNA (252 nucleotides) under uncultured bacterium. RNAcentral describes it as "partial 16S ribosomal RNA". It matches the Rfam family "Bacterial small subunit ribosomal RNA", at positions 524 to 776 of the family's 1533-position model. The record is from RNAcentral.
UACGGAGGAUGCGAGCGUUAUCCGGAUUUAUUGGGUUUAAAGGGUGCGUAGGCGGACUGUCAAGUCAGCGGUAAAAUUGAGAGGCUCAACCUCUCCCCGCCGUUGAGACUGGUGGUCUUGAGUGGAUGAGAAGUACGCGGAAUGCGUGGUGUAGCGGUGAAAUGCAUAGAUAUCACGCAGAACUCCGAUUGCGAAGGCAGCGUACCGGCAUCCAACUGACGCUGAGGCACGAAAGCGUGGGGAUCAAACAGG